AUUGAACGCUGGCGGCAGGCCUAACACAUGCAAGUCGAACGAGUGGCGGACGGGUGAGUAAUGUCUGGGAAACUGCCCGAUGGAGGGGGAUAACUACUGGAAACGGUAGCUAAUACCGCAUACCAUCGGAUGUGCCCAGAUGGGAUUAGCUAGUUGGUGGGGUAACGGCUCACCCAGGCGACGAUCCCUAGCUGGUCUGAGAGGAUGAACAGCCACCCUGGAACUGAGACAGGGUCCAGACUCCUACGGGAGGCAGCAGUGGGGAAUAUUGAACAAUGGGCGCAAGCCUGAUGCAGCCAUGCCGCGUGUAGGAAGAAGGCCUUAGGGUUGUAAAGUACUUUCAGCGGGGAGGCGUUACCCGCAGAAGAAGCACCGGGUAACUCCGUGCCAGCAGCCGCGGUAAUAC
This 406-nucleotide ribosomal RNA is filed under the name uncultured bacterium. Its description in RNAcentral is "partial 16S ribosomal RNA". It matches the Rfam family "Bacterial small subunit ribosomal RNA", at positions 30 to 526 of the family's 1533-position model. The record is from RNAcentral.